This is a non-coding RNA of Struthio camelus australis, 5172 nucleotides long. NCBI's taxonomy places the organism in Eukaryota, Metazoa, Chordata, Aves, Struthioniformes, Struthionidae. The record is from RefSeq and is a predicted model, not a curated record.
GCUAGGAGCGCUCCAGCAGGGCUGAAGUAGGAGAGGAAAGGUGUCGGUCCCCCCUCCUCCCCCCGUCCCCACCUCGUCCUACCGGUGUCUCCUCCCUGGCCGUGUGACCCGCGGAGCUGCCGUGGGCCUGCUGCGGCGUGCGGGGGCCAUGGAGCGGCACGUCCCUGUCCACGCCCUGCCCGAGGAGAUUCAACAGAUGUCCCGGGAUGAGACUGUAUGUAAAUACUGUGGAGUCAGCUAUUUGAUACUUCAUGAAUUUAAGGUGAUGGAAGAAAAAGUAAAAGCAAUGGAAAAGGAGAUUAAAUUUUAUGAAGGAAGUAUAGAACGGGAAAAAAGACUUCAAGAAGAAUUGCAGACUCUUUGCCAAGACCUCGAACACAGUCGAGCUGACAGUUGGUCAAAAACAGAAAGAAUAAAAAAACUAACAAUGGAACUGAAAGACAAGCAAGAGGAAUUAAAAAGCAUGAAAGAAGACUUGCGAUAUUUCCAAGGAGAAAAGGAAGCUGCAUAUAAACAAUCACAAGUGCUCAGAAGUACAUUGGAACACCAUUGCUCAACUCUAAACAAGGCGCUCUCGUUAUUUCCUUUUGUUAGAAGUGAACUUGACAGUAUUAAAGAGGUUGUGUCUGGUAAUCUAGAAAACUGGGCUGCCCUGAAAGAAGAAAUUUUUCUACAAAUAAAAGCUGUUAGCAAAGAAGCUUUGGCAGAAAUAUCCAAAUUGAAUCAAAGGUUAGCAAAAUCCCAGGGAGAGAACGAGUCCCUCCAAGAAAAGGUGAAACAUCUGACAUUGGUGGCUGAUACAGUUGAGUUGAAAACACAACAGCUUCAAACUUCACUUCAGCAAGGGAAUGAGCUACAAAAUAGGUGUUGGGAACUACAAAAGGAAACAUUAGAUUUAACAAAUCAAGUAGAGACAAUUGGACUCAAGCUUCAGAAAGUAACAGCUGAAAUGGACCACUACAAAAAGCUGUUAAUGCUGAAAUCAACAGAAGUUGAUGUCUGUCAAAACGAACUGAAAAAAAUGAAGUAUGAAAAUGGAAUUUCUGAAUCAAGACUUACAAAAGAGCUAAAGGAAAAGGAGGAAUCACUACUAGUCUGCCAGCAAGUGUGCAGACAUUUACAGGAAGAAGUGGCUGAGAAAGAGAGGAAGGAAGAAGAUCUAAAAAGAAGAACCGGUCGAUCAGAAAGUGAACUACAAACACUUAAAUCUCUUCUUAGACAAACAGAGGAAGAGGUGGUGAUGUUGAAACAAGAAAGGGAGUUAAUGCUGAUUUCUCAUCAGAACAGAACAGAUCACCUGCAGGAAACAUUAAGACAGAAGAUGCAAAAUGAAGAUAACUGGAGGGAAAAGAUGGAAAUUGACCUGGCUAAAGGUGAAGCACAACACAAAGAAGCUAUUCUUAAAGUCAAGGAAGAAGCGAGAAUGGAACUUGACAUUGAAAGACAAAAACACCAAGAAUUAAUCACAAAAUAUCAGAGAAAUCAAGAAGAGCUGCAGAAGAAGAUACCUGAGUUAAUAUCCAGUGCCAUCAAUAGCUUGAGGAUGGAAGUGGAAAUUCUUGAAAAGAAGCUACAAGAUGCCCAGAUCAAACUUGCAGAAAAAGAUGAAGAUAAGGAAAAAGAUAUUCAGAGCCUUAAAGGACUAAUUACUGAGCUUGAAUUUCAGCUGAAGAUGGAAAAGAACAAUAAUGAAUCAUUUUUGGAUAAUAUGAGGAAAGAAAUCAAACAGAAGUCAGAUGAACUGGAAAAAUUAACACAGGAGCGAACAGAGCUGAUUCACAGUUUGAGUCAAGUUCAGGAGGAGAACACUCUUCUCCAGGAAACAGUGCGCAGAGAGUGUGAGGAACGCUAUGAGCUGACUGAAGCUUUGACUCAAGCCAGGGAACAAGUACUGGAACUAAGAAAGCUCAGUGGAAACUUCCCGUUAUCACAGUGUUCUCUUACCCAGGGCAACCUAACCUCCUGUGCUGCUCUGGUCAAUAAUUACGGACAGAAAAGCCGCACAAGCCCCAACUCUGGGAAGGAAAUCAAUCUCUCAGGACAGUUUAGCAUUUCAAGAGCUCCUAAUGCACCCACCUCCAAUAAGCGUAACAGCAAUGGUAAUGUGAGUUUGCCAGUUCUAACCUCACCACAUCCUCCAAGAGGAAGGGCAUCUUCACUGAACGAAUCCAGGAGCAGAAUUGCUGCAGUUAUAAGAAGACAAUUGAGUCAGCUCUGAUAGCUAAAAAUGUCAAAGACAGUGCAUUCGCAUGUGUGUAGAACACAUGGAAAUCAUUUCAGUGCAUUUAAAUGACCAUUUACUAGUGGAGCCUUGGGGCCAAAUCUUACCAAAUGCACUUCAUGCAUUUCUACAACUUAAAAUUAAGUUAAACUUGUGUAUACAUAUACUGUUGAUGCAAUGAUGUUUCUUUAUCCAUUAUCAAUGUAAUUAAAUGCUAUCUACAUUUCAAGAUGAGAAAAGUAGAAAAAUAUUAUUUCUCCAAGAGGAGCACAUCUUCAAUAGGUAUAAUUAAAAUAAUUGCCACUUUUGAGUAUUAUUUUCCCUAAACCACGUACUUUACUGUAAUUUUCCUAUUUCAAGUGCUGGCCAAUGUAAUUUCGUUGCUUGUUUCUGGUGUAAAAAUGUGGUUUGUUCAGUUAGAGUCAGAUUUUUGCCAUUGUUUAAUUGAGUAGUGUUACAUUUGCAACUAGUUAUGCUUAAGCCAGUGAGAUUAACUAGUCAUGGCGUAAUAUAUCAUUCAGCAUGAGAAUGUGGCAAAUUCUAGCACCACAAAGUAGACUAAACAUUGUCAGGGACUUAACUUCCUUACCGCCUUCGUGUGCAUGUCUUCAAGCCGUGGUAAUCGACAAGGAGUUGAAGACUUAAUACAUUUUGUCUAAAAGAUGAUUGGUUGCCUCUGGAGUUUUAUCACGAAAGAUCCUAGCUUCUUCGAGCUUGAAAAUCAUUAUUCCAUUACCACCUGCAGUCUUCAGGUGCCAAAGUAAUAGAUGUUCAUUAAGGCAGUUCUUAAAAUGGCACAGAGAAUGAAUUCUGUUCUCAGCCCUCCUUCAGACUUACUGGGAACCUGCUCAAACCUAGUAACCGCAGUGCGCUUUGGAUCCGGCUUUGUAUAUGCAUAUGUAUAGUCAACAGCAAAGAAGAAUUUGUGCCCUUCUCUCGUGAACGGCGAGUAGGGGCUUUGGACGCAGUGGCCGGGACGUAGAGGAGCCAUACUGGGGCCCAAACUAGCUCAGACAAAAUAUCCACCUAGCCCAGUAUGUGCACUAGUCACCAGCAGUAGUUGGUAUGGAAAACGUUUCUGAAGUAGGAUAAAUGUGGAACGACCCUUCUCCAGGUGUAUCUUCUCAGAGCUGCAGGCCCUCCUGUUUGGUAAGGUGUGGAGGCCCUUCAGUCCCUGCACUGCCCAGCGCUGCGAUGAAGCCACCACUGCCCAGCGCUGCAAUGAAGCCACCCUGCGAUGAGGCCACCAAUGCCCAGCGCGGCAAUGAGGCCACCCUGCGAUGAAGCCACCACUGCCCGGUGCUGCAGUGAAGCCACUGCUGCCUGGCACUGCGAUGAAGCCAUCCUGCAAUGAAGCCACCACUGCCCAGUGCUGCAGUGAAGCCAUCACUGCCUGGUGCUGCAAUGAAGCCACCCUAUGAUGAGGGCACCAAUGCCGAGUGCUGCGAUGAAGCCACUGCAGCCUGGCACUGAGAUGAAGCCACCCUGUGAUGAGGCCACCACUGCCCAGCGCUGCGAUGAGGCCACCACCACCUGACACUGUGAUGAAGCCACCCUGCGAUGACGCCACCACUGCCCGGCGCUGCGAUGAAGUCGCUUCCUGGGCCAGCGGCUGCCAGAAACACGUCUAGCAGGCACUGGUGAGACUUGCUGCCAGGAGAGGUCCAGCACUCGCAAACCUAGGUGUGUUUUCGUCCUCACAACCUCUGGUGGCAGUAAGGUUCACCAUUUAACUGUACCCUCUGUGGCAGGAAAAAAAAAUCUUUCCGUUUAUUGUAAAUCUGUUACCUGGGGUGACUGCAUCUGCUGAAGUUACCUGACUGCUGCGUGCUUCGUUUGCUGCUCCCCCAGCUCUUGCGUUACAAGCAGCGGGGGAAGCCCCGCUCGCCGCCUUGACACCGGUCCCCACGAGAGAGCCGCACGGUGGCCAAUGGUGCCGCCAGGGCUGCCUGAUGCCUGAGCUGCUUUAAUGGUUUUGGCCAAGCCAUCGGCAUGGCGAACAGGAGCGCGCAGUGACUGCUACAGCGGUAGACGUCGUCGGUGCAAAGGAGGAUUGGGAAGUUGUAUCGGGGAACAGGAUUGGAGAAAUGGUGUGAAAUUUAAUAGCACGCGGCAAAAAAAACAUCUACCAGGAGACUAAUAACGAGACGUCUGCUGUUAGCUAGACUUUGUCAACUGGAAAACACGGGACGGUGGUAACUCUGGGUGCACUUUCCGACUGUGGGAUAAGUACCAGCCGCAGCAUGAUGCUGUUGUGAAAAAUGAGUGCAGGUCUACAAAGGUCAAGGUAUUUCCAGGGGGUAAAGGGAAAAUAUUUGCGCAUUGUACAAGGCUCUCGGGCUUCAGCCUUGCUGUGGGUCGCGGGGAAGGCAAACGGAGAAGGAGGACGGGAAAGGAGGGCUGUCAUGCUCAGAGAUUUCCUUGGUGGCACGGCCAAAGCCCCGAGACCUCCCGACAGCUGAGACGGGCACCUCACCGCUGCAACCAGGGCCCAUUGCCCAUGGCCGGGGCGGGGGGGGCAAACGCGACUUGGGGCAGGGCCAAAGACGGACUACUUAGCAAACCGGAGCUCAGCUCAUGACCUAGAGGAGACGCGACUGCAAAAAGCUCUCUUUUAGCUGAAGGACAGUGUCAGCACAAGCGCAGGCAGGUCUGGCUGGGCUAUAGCUGUGUUUGGGCCGGACGCUGGCCGGAGAUUUCUGGCCAUCAGCGAAGCGAGGGUGUGAAACAGUCACCUAACGAGAGCGGGGGCCGCCUGGGUGGGCAGCGUGCAACCGCGCAGCCUGGGAGAAGCCUGGUGAGACGCGGGGCAGCACGUGGGGACGCAGCAAAGCACGCUCGGGGCAGGCUCCUGCCAGGGGAAGCCAGUGUAAGAGCAAAAGAGAACAGCUUUCCAUAGGGUUUAGAUUAUUUGGGGGAGUUUUGUUUUCUACACAUCGCUCCCAUCUCCC